Molecule: unclassified non-coding RNA, 1844 nt
Filed under: Hevea brasiliensis (rubber tree)
Lineage: Eukaryota; Viridiplantae; Streptophyta; Magnoliopsida; Malpighiales; Euphorbiaceae
Source: RNAcentral
CUUUUUUCAAAUUUAGACUUUUGACCAUGGCGUCAAUGUUGUUCAGCUUCUUCUCUUCUCCUUGCUUUAUAUGUAUAUAUUCUUCCAACCCCACAGCUUAAAGCCUACAUUUUCAUGGAGCCAACACCACCCAACCAACUCUUCCUUGUGGCGGUGCUGCUUUUGUCCGCUGUCAUGUGCGCAUUCUCAGCCAAACAAUGCCCCAACUGUGGCCUUACCUCAGUUCCCUACCCACUCAGCACACACCCCACCUGCGGAGACCAAUCAUACAAGAUACGGUGCAACGCAGGUGUACUCAUUUUCGACACGCUUAACAAUUCCUAUCCGAUAUUUUCCAUCAAUCCGUCGAUUCAACGAUUGGUAAUACAACCUGCAAAUCUGUUAUCAAAUACCUGCAUUUCAUCUGAUUUUAUCCACCAAGGCAUCCAGUUGAGCUCUUCCCUACCGUUCAACAUUACCGGCGAGAACACUGUCAUGCUUUUUAACUGCUCCGAGUCGAUACUUGAUCAACCGUUGAAUUGUUCGCCGAGUAGCUUGUGCCACUUAUACGUUGAGGGAGAAGAGUACUCUCGGUGCAGAGAUUCAUCGUUGUGUUGUACAUUCAAAGCGGGCGGGUCAGCGUCGGCCUAUAGGAUACGCGUCCUAGAAAACGGGUGUAGGGCUUAUAGAAGUUUCAUUGGUUUGGAUUGGGGUUUGCCAGUGGAUAAGUGGCCAAACCCGGGUGUGGAGAUCCAGUGGGUGCUUCCUCUGGAACCAGUGUGUGAAUCUCAGGUGGAUUGUGAUGCGGACUCCACGUGUGAGCCUAACCGUGCUGAUGGGGUAAAGAGGUGCUAUUGCAAGGUUGGUCUUCAAUGGAAUCCAAUCCAAGGAAUCUAAAUGAAUCUUGGAAUACUAUGCAGCUGGUGGGUGUCAAAGUCCUGGAGGAUGUAGCAGACAAAAGAAGAUUGCACUCAUAGUAGGUACUGGCACAAUGGAAAUUCUCUUUGAAAUAUUACGAAGAUUUCAAUUCACGAGUGACAUAUGUUAAAAGAAGGUAAUCUUGAUCUAACAUCUAACCCAAAUACCCAAUUGAAUUUUGUUUAGGUUUAACUUUCGGCCUUAGUGCAUUGGUCUUGGUGAUCACCAUUGCCAUUCUACUCCAUAAACGCUAUAAACGCAUCAGAGAGGCACAAGAACGUCUUGCCAGACACUGCGAAGAAAUCUUGAGUGUUGAUGGGAGCAAAACAGCAAAGCUUUUUAAAAGUAAAGAGAUAAAGAAAGCAACAGACAAUUUCUCCAAGGAUUGCCUCAUAGGCGCCGGAGGCUACGGUGAAGUCUACAAAGGCUGUCUAGAGGAUGGCACUGUUGUUGCUGUCAAGUGUGCUAAGAUUGGAAACAUCAAAGGUACUGAUCAGCUUCUCAAUGAAGUCCGCAUUCUAUGCCAAGUCAAUCAUAGAAGCCUUGUUCAUUUGCUUGGUUGUUGUGUUGAGCUCGAACAACCUAUCCUAGUUUAUGAGUAUAUUCAAAAUGGGACUCUUCUUGAUCAUUUACAAGGUCUAGGACAUGGUGGGAAAAGCCAACUUUCUUGGAUACAUCGUCUCCGAAUUGCCCAGGAUACUGCAGAAUGUCUCAGUUACCUCCACAACUCUGCUGUUCCUCCAAUAUAUCAUCGAGACAUAAAGUCGAGCAACAUCCUUCUUGAUGACAAAUUGAAUGCUAAGAUUUCAGAUUUUGGAUUAUCAAGGUUAGCUUAUAGCGACUUGAGCCACAUAUCAACUUGUGCCCAAGGAACUAUUGGAUAUCUAGAUCCAGAGUACUUCAAGAAAUUUCAAUUGACUGAUAAGAGUGAUGUUUAUAGCUUUGGA